Molecule: ribosomal RNA, 253 nt
Filed under: uncultured bacterium
Lineage: Bacteria
Description: partial 16S ribosomal RNA
Rfam family: Bacterial small subunit ribosomal RNA
Source: RNAcentral
UACGUAGGUGGCGAGCGUUGUCCGGAUUUACUGGGCGUAAAGGGCGCGUAGGCGGCGCGACAAGUCACUUGUGAAAUCUCCGGGCUUAACUCGGAACGGUCAAGUGAAACUGUCAUGCUAGAGUGCAGAAGGGGCAAUCGGAAUUCUUGGUGUAGCGGUGAAAUGCGUAGAUAUCAAGAGGAACACCUGAGGUGAAGACGGGUUGCUGGGCUGACACUGACGCUGAGGCGCGAAAGCCAGGGGAGCAAACGGG